GAUGUGUGGCAUAGUGGUUUGAGCGUUGGACUACAAGUCUGGAGACUAGGGUUCAGUUCCCUGCUCAGACA
Molecule: non-coding RNA, 71 nt
Organism: Phrynosoma platyrhinos (Desert horned lizard)
Lineage: Eukaryota; Metazoa; Chordata; Lepidosauria; Squamata; Phrynosomatidae
Source: the annotation of a GenBank genome assembly